CGUCGAGUUGCUGGUUAGUGUAUGUGCGUAGUCGGUUGAGUGUGUGGGAAUGUGUGUGUUUUUUUGUUACACUAACACCAUUAUCACGAUUGCAUAAAGCUAUUGAUAAACUGUGAUUUUAUUUUUAUUAGCUGCGAAGAUAAUCUUUUGAAGUGCAUAGUUUGAUGAGGUUGUAAUUUCUGAUAGGCCUUCAGAGAGUGCAUAGUCUUUGGUCGAGAUUAUAAAUAUAACAACGACCGUUACUGUAUCACAGAGACAUCUAGUUAGAUAGACUGCAGUCGUACGUAUUCAUCGUUUUUAUCACUGAAUAGAAGAUGAACAUUCCGUCAAAUCCAGUUCCUGAUGAGAAGCAACUUUUUUUGUCCAACCGCCGGAGGACCUCCAAGGCCACCAGGACUUACAGAGAACUGGUGAAAAAGAAGAUUCUGAAACAGGAGAGGCGAGUUCAUUUAAAGUUGCAGAAAAGCCACGAAUAUCGCAGACUUAGGUCCAUGGUCCCCAGCAUUGCCAAGAAAGCUCACGUCCCCAAGGUUACUGUAAUAGAAGAGGCCAUUCGAUAUAUUGACCACUUGCACAACGCUCUUCUGACGAGAUUAAGAACACGGGGUCUACCUUUAUGCCUUCAAGGCAUGAACAUCGAUAUAAACAGUUUUGAUCAUUCCCAAAUUCAAGAACUUGUACAUAAUCUUAUGUUAAACUCUAACACUCCCUCUACCGGACAUCCUGCAAGCUUGUCUGGAAAUGUUUGUGAAAGAACAAGACUUGUACCAUCGUAUUUACUUCGGAAAGGGAAAAAAUUGCAGUCUUUGAGCGCUAGUCUUUAAGAUCAGAGUUAAGAGAACAAAAUGGCUGGCCAGGUUCGUCGCUUCCAUCUUCUUUCUUUUUCCAAUGUUGGUCACUUUUUUUUCUUCUCUGGCUAAACUGGAUCACUUGGGAAGAAGACUGAUUUCUUUAAUGGUUGGCUCUUUGCUGAUCUGAAGAGUGACAGUGUCUGCUACUCGGUCUUUCAAACGAAGAUCUCAUAGACUGUGAUCUGAACGUUCAAGGCACUAAUAAGGAAACACGUCACGCUAGUGGUCACGUGACUAAUCUCCUGAACAAUGGCUUCUGUAUUAAUCCAGACGUAUUGCGGCUAUAGCACAUGUGAAACUUUGACUUGGUUCUUCAACUGUAUCUAUUCGCUCGUGGAAGCGACAAGAGGAACGUGCAAUUAUGCGUACAAAACAUAAAUAUAGAUGCGUCUAUAUGAAUUAUAUAUAUAUAUAUAGAUAGAUAGAUAGAUAGAAAGAAGUUUUUGUACAAACGGUGUAUACUGUGGUCUAGACGUGGUUGUAUGUACGUGUGUGUGGUUUGUGAUGCAGAACGAAGCUACAGUAACUUGGUAGUCGGGUGAUAUUAACGCUAAUUAUUAUACUUAUCAUCGCUUACAGAGAUAAUUAUAUGUAACUAUGUAACAUACUACUUAGACUCAUGUAGGUCUCUCAUCAAGAGAUUCGAUUUAUCGGUUAUCAAUAAAAGGUUAUCCAAGUCCUUUUUCAUGUCA
Long non-coding RNA from Limulus polyphemus (Atlantic horseshoe crab), 1543 nucleotides. RefSeq lists it as uncharacterized. The record is from RefSeq and is a predicted model, not a curated record. Lineage: Eukaryota; Metazoa; Arthropoda; Merostomata; Xiphosura; Limulidae. The transcript has 6 exons.